AUGGAUGAGCCUGCGUUGGAUUAGCUAGGUGGUGGGGUAAGGGCCUACCAAGGCUACGAUCCAUAGCUGAUUUGAGAGGAUGAUCAGCCACAUUGGGACUGAGACACGGCCCAAACUCCUACGGGAGGCAGCAGUGAGGAAUAUUGGACAAUGGGGGCAACCCUGAUCCAGCAAUGCCAUGUGUGUGAAGAAGGCCUUAGGGUUGUAAAGCACUUUAGUUGGGGAAGAAAGCUUUGAGGUUAAUAGCCUUGAGGAAGGACGUUACCCAAAGAAUAAGCACCGGCUAACUCCGUGCCAGCAGCCGCGGUAAUACGGGGGGUGCAAGCGUUAAUCGGAAUUACUGGGCGUAAAGAGUCUGUAGGUGGUUUGUUAAGUCAGAUGUGAAAGCCCAGGGCUCAACCUUGGAACUGCAUUUGAUACUGGCAAACUAGAGUACGGUAGAGGAAUGGGGAAUUUCUGGUGUAGCGGUGAAAUGCGUAGAGAUCAGAAGGAACACCAAUGGCGAAGGCAACAUUCUGGACCGAUACUGACACUGAGGGACGAAAGCGUGGGGAUCAAACAGGAUUAGAUACCCUGGUAGUCCACGCUGUAAACGAUGAGUACUAGCUGUUGGAGUCGGUGUAAAGGCUCUAGUGGCGCAGCUAACGCGAUAAGUACUCCGCCUGGGGACUACGGCCGCAAGGCUAAAACUCAAAGGAAUUGACGGGGACCCGCACAAGCGGUGGAGCAUGUGGUUUAAUUCGAUGCAACGCGAAGAACCUUACCUGGUCUUGACAUCCUGCGAACUUUCUAGAGAUAGAUUGGUGCCUUCGGGAACGCAGUGACAGGUGCUGCACGGCUGUCGUCAGCUCGUGUUGUGAAAUGUUGGGUUAAGUCCCGCAACGAGCGCAACCCCUAUUGAUAGUUACCAUCAUUAAGUUGGGUACUCUAUUGAGACUGCCGCUGACAAGGCGGAGGAAGGUGGGGACGACGUCAAGUCAUCAUGGCCCU
This 990-nucleotide ribosomal RNA is filed under the name Francisella endosymbiont of Hyalomma sp. RNAcentral's name for it is "bacterial SSU rRNA". It matches the Rfam family "Bacterial small subunit ribosomal RNA", at positions 221 to 1202 of the family's 1533-position model. The record is from RNAcentral. Lineage: Bacteria; Pseudomonadati; Pseudomonadota; Gammaproteobacteria; Thiotrichales; Francisellaceae.